RNAcentral lists this long non-coding RNA (559 nucleotides) under Brassica napus (rape). Its description in RNAcentral is "long non-coding RNA (BNAP_LNC009126)". Lineage: Eukaryota; Viridiplantae; Streptophyta; Magnoliopsida; Brassicales; Brassicaceae. The record is from RNAcentral.
UUUUAAAAUUUAGGUUUAGUUUAUGAAAUAUUGGGGUUAACAUUGGUUAAGGUUUAGAUUUUGAUAUUUGAGUUUAGUGUUCAUAUUUGGGUUAAGUUUAGUGAUUAGAGUUUAGGGUUUAUGAUUUAGGGGUUGAGGUGUGAUUAGGAUUGGGUUAGUAUUUAGGGGUUUAGGAUUUAUAUUUGGGUAAGGGUUGAGUGAUUAGAGUUUAAGAUUUAGUAUUUAGAAGGUGAAGGAGUAUGGUUGAGGUCAGUGAUAACUUCUUCCAUGCAAUUAUAGAUAUUUUAUAAUUUCACAAAUAUGUACUAUGUUAUUUUUUUGUUCAAUUCUAUUUGGAUUUUGUGCUUAUAUUUAGAGUUAUGGUUUAUAUUUGGGUUUAUGGUUUAGAUUUGGGUUUAGGGUUUACUGAACAGAGUUUAGAGUUCAGUACAGAGGUUGGGUGAGAUUGGAAUAAGUUUUAAUAUCUAAGGAUUGGAUUUGAGAUAUGUUUAUAUUUAAGGGUUGUAGAUAAAGUUAUAAUUUUAUACUAUUUUAUAUAGAAUAGAACUCGGUGGAUAUG